RNAcentral lists this long non-coding RNA (1683 nucleotides) under Felis catus (domestic cat). RNAcentral describes it as "lncRNA (ENSFCAG00000052336.1)". The record is from RNAcentral. Lineage: Eukaryota; Metazoa; Chordata; Mammalia; Carnivora; Felidae.
GAUCUCACCGUGACGCAGAGACUCGCUCUGGAGGACUCUGGCUCUCCAUUAGUCAUUGUCCUGGAAAGGUGAUUGCUUAUUCUAGAGAACAUCUGUUCUUUUCAGGAUGUGUGGGAUUGCACUGCUCACAGACAGGACGCCACAUGCUGGGAGCCCUUCUGCAUGAUUGCGGCUCUUUUUCUCCAACUUCUUCAGCCUCGGCGCACAGAUAAGGCUCUCCAGGCCCGCCUCAUCACUCUCCCCCGCAGCUACUUCCUCACAGGGUACCAGGGCCAGAGGCAGAGAGGGACAGUUUAGGGACUUCUUUAACUCUUCAGGACCAACGCAGAGUUGGGGUUCUGGACAGACACUGCCUUCCACUCUGCCGCACGUCACUGACUGGGUUAUGUCGGCCUUACGGUCAUCCUAAACGCAGAUCCACUUUUUUCUGCUUGUUUUCCCUGGGGUCAGCAGUGGAUUCUGUAUUCUUGUACUUCUUGAAGAGUCAGGAUCCUGGGGUUGGUGACCUUUGUGAAACAAGGUGGCAGCCCAGAAGCCUCACCGACCAUGACUGGAUGCAUCCGAUGGAAAAUUCUAAACUGUACCAUGCUGAAAGAACAGAGAAGAAAGCUUGUGUUGCUACAAUAGAAAACACAUGUGCAAACAAUUUUUAUUUUCAAAGAGACCUACCUAGAAAGAACUGAUUUCAUACGUUCACCUUCAGUCUUGACUCCUCCAGGCAGAGGGAAAAGGAUGAACAUGUCAAGUCUCUUCUCAGAAGUUCAAGUGUUUGAACUUGAAGCCAUGAGGAAAUAUAUUCUCUCAUUCCUUCCUAAUGCAGCCUUAGUUUUAAGCUCCUUCUGAAGGAAGAUAAGGGGCUUGGCUCAUUUAGCACACAACUUGAUAAGAUCUCUGAAAAUCAGAUCUACUGAGCAUUCUCUCCAAGACUUCUCUGGAGCUGAAAAACGGGAGACAUACCUCCUGUGGGUCGUGGUGAUGCUAUGAACAUGUCAGAGAUAACAUCCUACAGGGUUAAUAAUACCAACAGAGCACAGCAAAACAACAUGCUGCAGAAGUUUUACUCAUUUCUGUAGCCCAGUACUGGGCCCUGAAGAAAAGAAAAUUCUCAAAAACUCGCGACAUCAUUAACUUGGAAGCGAAGUUAGACAGCUUUUGUGCCUUUAUAUGCAUAAAGUAAGAGUGACAAAAUAUAUGUAUAACUUCACGUGAAUUAAUUUAUCAAAUCGCUUCCUAGAAAAACAGAUUUGUCCUAGGAAGCCUAUAUUAAAUAGGCGGAUGCAGACUGAUGGAGAAUGUCUAAAGCAGGCAAGGCACAGAAAAGGAGGACAGAGCCACAAGACCAUUGUGGCUCCUUCACAGGGCCAGUCCUGAACUUCUCUUGAAGGCUCCAUCUACUCUGGGGUUACGGACACAGCCUGGCUUUGCCUCACAACCUGUGCCUGUCCUCUGGGCUCCGCAUUUACUGUAACUGUUCUAACCCAUCAAGCAGUGGGAAGAACUUUAAACUCCCGCUGCUGGAGUCUGAGAAUGAACUACCACGUGUUAGAAAUGAUGCAAUGCGGCAUGAUCAUAUAAGACUAAGGAAGAGAAUCAGCGGGAUUGUAUUUCACCGAAGUGCUGUGUGUGAAACUGAACUCUUUGGGACUUGGCGUAGGUCUCAGAGGCCUAUCUCAUCCCUGCACC